UGCUCCGUCGUAUAACGGCAAUACAUUCGGCUCUGGACCGAAGAAUUGAGGUUCGAAUCCUUGCGGGGCAGC
RNAcentral lists this transfer RNA (72 nucleotides) under Streptomyces phage Annadreamy. RNAcentral's name for it is "tRNA-Gln". It matches the Rfam family "tRNA". From Rfam's summary of the family: Transfer RNA (tRNA) molecules are approximately 80 nucleotides in length. Their secondary structure includes four short double-helical elements and three loops (D, anti-codon, and T loops). The record is from RNAcentral. RNAcentral also lists the same sequence under 3 other names. Lineage: Duplodnaviria; Heunggongvirae; Uroviricota; Caudoviricetes; Stanwilliamsviridae.